AGAGUUUGAUCCUGGCUCAGGAUGAACGCUGGCGGCGUGCCUAACACAUGCAAGUCGAGCGAUUCUCUUCGGAGAAGAGCGGCGGACGGGUGAGUAACGCGUGGGUAACUUGCCCUGUACACACGGAUAACAUACCGAAAGGUAUGCUAAUACGAGAUAAUAUGCUUUUAUCGCAUGGUAGAAGUAUCAAAGCUCCGGCGGUACAGGAUGGACCCGCGUCUGAUUAGCUAGUUGGUAAGGUAACGGCUUACCAAGGCGACGAUCAGUAGCCGACCUGAGAGGGUGAUCGGCCACAUUGGAACUGAGACACGGUCCAAACUCCUACGGGAGGCAGCAGUGGGGAAUAUUGCACAAUGGGCGAAAGCCUGAUGCAACAACGCCGCGUGAGCGAUGAAGGCCUUCGGGUCGUAAAGCUCUGUCCUCAAGGAAGAUAAUGACGGUACUUGAGGAGGAAGCCCCGGCUAACUACGUGCCAGCAGCCGCGGUAAUACGUAGGGGGCUAGCGUUAUCCGGAAUUACUGGGCGUAAAGGGUGCGUAGGUGGUUUCUUAAGUCAGAGGUGAAAGGCUACGGCUCAACCGUAGUAAGCCUUUGAAACUGGGAAACUUGAGUGCAGGAGAGGAGAGUGGAAUUCCUAGUGUAGCGGUGAAAUGCGUAGAUAUUAGGAGGAACACCAGUUGCGAAGGCGGCUCUCUGGACUGUAACUGACACUGAGGCACGAAAGCGUGGGGAGCAAACAGGAUUAGAUACCCUGGUAGUCCACGCCGUAAACGAUGAGUACUAGCUGUCGGAGGUUACCCCCUUCGGUGGCGCAGCU
This 816-nucleotide ribosomal RNA is filed under the name uncultured bacterium. RNAcentral describes it as "bacterial SSU rRNA". It matches the Rfam family "Bacterial small subunit ribosomal RNA", at positions 8 to 853 of the family's 1533-position model. The record is from RNAcentral.